GACUCUGUGGUGUAAUUGGUCAGUGCAUUUGGCUGUUAACCAAAAGGUUGGUGGUUUGAAACCACCCAGGGUCA
This is a non-coding RNA of Chiloscyllium plagiosum (whitespotted bambooshark), 74 nucleotides long. The record is from the annotation of a RefSeq genome assembly. Lineage: Eukaryota; Metazoa; Chordata; Chondrichthyes; Orectolobiformes; Hemiscylliidae.